UUUGACCUCAAAUCAGGUAGGACUACCCGCUGAACUUAAGCAUAUCAA
Molecule: ribosomal RNA, 48 nt
Filed under: Candida albicans
Lineage: Eukaryota; Fungi; Ascomycota; Pichiomycetes; Serinales; Debaryomycetaceae
Description: partial 26S ribosomal RNA
Source: RNAcentral